ACAUGUACUCUACUAGCAGAACAUGUACAUGAAUGUACAUUUUACACAUAGGCAUUCAUUGUACAAUACUUCCAUGUCUUUUGCAAACACUUACAAACUUGCAUUCAUACAUGUACAAUGUGUACAGGUGUACUCCACCACAGCACUGCCAUGUAUAGCAUAUUGCAAAUGUAUUUACAUGCACCUCAAUUGUAUGAACUCAUUGCGUCUGUAUUGCAUUGUCUUCGUAUCUUAUCCAUAAUCCCUGAUGCAUCACUAUCAAGGUUUUGGAGGAUAUUGCAGUAUUGAGGUUUGUAGAGUCCAACCACAUGUCCACGUACAUGUAUGUGUACAUGUACAUACAUGUAGAUGUUACAUUGUCAUGGGGAUUGGCUCCACUGGAAGGAAUAAAGAGCGUUACAUUUACAGAGAAUGUGCCAUUGGUUUCCUGGUGUGGGUUUUAGGUAUAGGAAGGGUCAAAUCAAAAUUGCUCAGGGAGGCAUACAUGUAUGUUGUAAUUUCAGAUGAAUAUACAUGUAGUUGUACUCUGUGUUUAUUGUCUUUCUCAACAGCCUCAUUACUGCGCUACAAUGCCUUGUCCGGUGCGUAUCUACUCUGUCUUCUGGUGCUACCCCUCAUGCCCAAUCCCAGCCGAAGGAACAUGUCUGGGAGGACUGGGAUAUACCUCAUCAUCCUUCUCAUCUUGUCUGCCCUUGCCUGCCUCACCCAGGCCGUAUUCCAGAUUGUCCUUGCCGCUGACUCACCGUACGGCCACGACUGGGAACCAUGUAACGGAACUGAGCCAAUUUGGAGACAGCUUGGUUAUCAGGGGU
Long non-coding RNA from Acanthaster planci (crown-of-thorns starfish), 812 nucleotides. Lineage: Eukaryota; Metazoa; Echinodermata; Asteroidea; Valvatida; Acanthasteridae. The record is from RefSeq and is a predicted model, not a curated record.